RNAcentral lists this ribosomal RNA (305 nucleotides) under uncultured bacterium. RNAcentral describes it as "partial 16S ribosomal RNA". It matches the Rfam family "Bacterial small subunit ribosomal RNA", at positions 508 to 809 of the family's 1533-position model. The record is from RNAcentral.
ACAGCAGUAGCCGCGGUAAUACGGAGGGUGCAAGCGUUAAUCGGAAUUACUGGGCGUAAAGCGCACGCAGGCGGUUUGUUAAGUCAGAUGUGAAAUCCCCGAGCUUAACUUGGGAACUGCAUUUGAAACUGGCAAGCUAGAGUCUUGUAGAGGGGGGUAGAAUUCCAGGUGUAGCGGUGAAAUGCGUAGAGAUCUGGAGGAAUACCGGUGGCGAAGGCGGCCCCCUGGACAAAGACUGACGCUCAGGUGCGAAAGCGUGGGGAGCAAACAGGAUUAGAUACCCCGGUAGUCCCUGUCUCUUACAC